ACGGGCAUAGUUCAAUGGCAGAAUAGCGGUCUCCAAAACCGUUGAUGGGAGUUCGAGUCUCUCUGCCCGUGCAA
This 74-nucleotide transfer RNA is filed under the name Bacteroidota bacterium. RNAcentral describes it as "Bacteroidetes bacterium (freshwater metagenome) tRNA-Trp". It matches the Rfam family "tRNA". Rfam says of the family: Transfer RNA (tRNA) molecules are approximately 80 nucleotides in length. Their secondary structure includes four short double-helical elements and three loops (D, anti-codon, and T loops). Further hydrogen bonds mediate the characteristic L-shaped molecular structure. tRNAs have two regions of fundamental functional importance: the anti-codon, which is responsible for specific mRNA codon recognition, and the 3' end, to which the tRNAs corresponding amino acid is attached (by aminoacyl-tRNA synthetases). tRNAs cope with the degeneracy of the genetic code in two manners: having more than one tRNA (with a specific anti-codon) for a particular amino acid; and 'wobble' base-pairing, i.e. permitting non-standard base-pairing at the 3rd anti-codon position. The record is from RNAcentral. Lineage: Bacteria; Pseudomonadati; Bacteroidota.